UCAGAACCUUCCUGCCGCCGCGUUCGCACCUCGCUCCUCCAGCGUCUGGGGCGCAUUCCAACCUUCCAGCCUGCGACCUGCAGAAAAAAAAAUUACUUAUUUUCUUGCCGCAUACAUACCUUGAGGCGAGCAAAAAAUAAUAAAUUUUAACCAUGAGGGAAAUCGUGCACAUCCAGGCCGGUCAAUGUGGCAACCAGAUCGGUGCCAAGUUCUGGGAGGUGAUCAGUGAUGAACAUGGCAUUGACCCCACCGGCACCUACCACGGGGACAGCGACCUGCAGCUGGACCGCAUCUCCGUGUACUACAAUGAAGCCACAGGUGGCAAAUAUGUUCCUCGUGCCAUCCUGGUGGAUCUAGAACCUGGGACCAUGGACUCUGUUUGCUCAGGUCCUUUUGGCCAGAUCUUUAGACCAGACAACUUUGUAUUUGGUCAGUCUGGGGCAGGUAACAACUGGGCCAAAGGCCACUACACAGAGGGGGCUGAGCUGGUUGAUUCUGUCCUGGAUGUGGUAGGGAAGGAAGCAGAGAGCUGUGACUGCCUGCAGGGCUUCCAGCUGACCCACUCACUGGGUGGAGGCACAGGCUCUGGAAUGGGCACUCUCCUUAUCAGCAAGAUACGAGAAGAGUACCCUGAUCGCAUCAUGAACACCUUCAGUGUAGUUCCUUCACCCAAAGUAUCUGACACCGUGGUUGAGCCCUACAAUGCCACCCUCUCCGUCCAUCAGUUGGUAGAGAACACUGAUGAGACCUAUUGCAUUGACAACGAGGCCCUCUAUGAUAUCUGCUUCCGUACUCUGAAGCUGACCACACCAACCUACGGGGAUCUGAACCACCUUGUCUCAGCCACCAUGAACGGUGUCACCACCUGCCUCUGCUUCCCUGGCCAGCUCAAUGCUGACCUCCGCAAGUUGGCAGUCAACAUGGUCCCCUUCCCACGCCUCCAUUUCUUUAUGCCUGGCUUUGCCCCUCUCACCAGCCAUGGAAGCCAGCAAUAUCGAGCUCUUACAGUGCCAGAACUCACCCAGCAGGUCUUCGAUGCCAAGAACAUGAUGGCUGCCUGUGACCCCCGCCACGGCCGAUACCUCACCGUGGCUGCUCUCUUCCGUGGUCGGAUGUCCAUGAAGGAGGUCGAUGAGCAGAUGCUUAACGUGCAGAACAAAAACAGCAGCUACUUUGUGGAAUGGAUCCCCAACAACGUCAAGACAGCUGUCUGUGACAUCCCACCUCGUGGCCUCAAGAUGGCAGUCACCUUCAUUGGCAACAGCACGGCCAUCCAGGAGCUCUUCAAGCGCAUCUCGGAGCAGUUCACUGCCAUGUUCCGCCGGAAGGCCUUCCUCCACUGGUACACAGGCGAGGGCAUGGACGAGAUGGAGUUCACUGAGGCUGAGAGCAACAUGAACGACCUCGUCUCUGAGUAUCAGCAGUACCAGGAUGCCACCGCAGAAGAGGAGGAGGAUUUCGGUGAGGAGGCCGAAGAGGAGGCCUAAGGCAGAGCCCCCAUCACCUCAGGCUUCUCAGUUCCCUUAGCCCUCUUACUCAACUGCCCCUUUCCUCUCCCUCAGAAUUUGUGUUUGCUGCCUCUAUCUUGUUUUUUGUUUUUUCUUCUGGGGGGGUCUAGAACAGUGCCUGGCACAUAGUAGGCGCUCAAUAAAUACUUGUUUGUUGAAAAAAAAAAAAA
Molecule: RNA transcript, 1678 nt
Organism: Piliocolobus tephrosceles (Ugandan red Colobus)
Lineage: Eukaryota; Metazoa; Chordata; Mammalia; Primates; Cercopithecidae
Gene name: tubulin beta-7 chain pseudogene
Exons: 1
Source: RefSeq, a predicted model, not a curated record